RNAcentral lists this ribosomal RNA (499 nucleotides) under uncultured bacterium. RNAcentral's name for it is "partial 16S ribosomal RNA". It matches the Rfam family "Bacterial small subunit ribosomal RNA", at positions 28 to 507 of the family's 1533-position model. The record is from RNAcentral.
GACGAACGCUGGCGGCGUGCCUAAUACAUGCAAGUCGAGCGAAGUUUUUCUGGUGCUUGCACCGGAAAAACUUAGCGGCGAACGGGUGAGUAACACGUAAAGAACCUGCCUCAUAGACUGGGACAACUAUUGGAAACGAUAGCUAAUACCGGAUAACAGCAUUAACUGCAUGGUUGAUGUUUAAAAGUUGGUUUUGCUAACACUAUGAGAUGGCUUUGCGGUGCAUUAGCUAGUUGGUGGGGUAAAGGCCUACCAAGGCGACGAUGCAUAGCCGACCUAAGAGGGUGAUCGGCCACACUGGGACUGAGACACGGCCCAGACUCCUGCGGGAGGCAGCAGUAGGGAAUCUUCCGCAAUGGGCGAAAGCCUGACGGGGCAACGCCGCGUGAGUGAAGAAGGAUUUCGGUUCGUAAAGCUCUGUUGUUAGGGAAGAAUGAUUGUGUAGUAACUAUACACAGUAGAGACGGUACCUAACCAGAAAGCCACGGCUAACUACGUG